RNAcentral lists this ribosomal RNA (222 nucleotides) under Pavlova sp. CCMP459. Its description in RNAcentral is "partial Eukaryotic large subunit ribosomal RNA". It matches the Rfam family "Eukaryotic large subunit ribosomal RNA", at positions 631 to 837 of the family's 3401-position model. The record is from RNAcentral. Lineage: Eukaryota; Haptophyta; Pavlovophyceae; Pavlovales; Pavlovaceae.
GAAAUGGUUUUCUUUCACCCGUCUUGGAACACGGACCAAGGAGUCUAACAUAUAUGCGAGUACAGGGGUGGCAAACCCCCGUGCGCAAUGAAAGUAAAGGGCUGCUUCGGCGGUCUGAGGUGGGAUCUGUCAAAGGUGCACCAUCGACCGACCAUGAUUCUUCGGAUGAAAGGUUUGAGUGUGAGCAUUUAUGUUGGGACCCGAAAGAUGGUGAACUAUGCC